UGGUUCAGCUGGAUCAGCUGGAUAGUGACUCAGUGGAGUACUGGUUUGAGAAGCACAACCAUGGAGGCAGCGAACACUACAGCCUCAAAACUGCGUGUCAACCGCAGAAAUACGUCUGCAUAUCUCAGAAAUAUCUCAGCCUCAGUGACACCAAGCGGGAUUUGGCUGAAGUCAAAGAUGAGGCAAAGUAGAUGUAUGCAUUCACCAACAGCCUUUUGCACACAUUUACUACAAUCCGCUCUGUCUACAAACUGAAGAGGAAGACAGUUUAUCUUUAGCUGAAUCCAAGCAGAACUCUCUCUUCCUGCUGUGAUUUGAUAAAGUAGCUGGACUAAGUAGAGCUACAAACUGGAGAUUAGUCUGGCUGGCUAAUUUUGUGUUCUUGGUAUAGGGAGAAAAAUGCUUUGGUAGUUGGGUUGGGUGGUAAAAGCACAAAAUAAAACUUUGCUCUUUUUUUCAUAUUGUAAACUACAGGUGGUGCAAAGGGAUGAGACUACUGGCCAAUCUCAAAGAAACUGUACAAACAUUGUCCAUAUGUUUUUAAAAAGAAUUUAUUACAAAUCCCAAUUCUUUAGAUUUUCGUAUUCAUCGUUCCCCUGUGAUUGCAAUAUACA
Molecule: long non-coding RNA, 614 nt
Organism: Haplochromis burtoni (Burton's mouthbrooder)
Lineage: Eukaryota; Metazoa; Chordata; Actinopteri; Cichliformes; Cichlidae
Exons: 2
Source: RefSeq, a predicted model, not a curated record